CGAGGUGUUGAGCCAUAAAGAUGAUUAUUAUUGCUAUUAUUUAAUAAGGCCGUUGCUGCCAGCGAGGCGCUGCCGCCACAGGAGAUUUACGCGUUCCCCGUUCCCACGCGGCUGCGAGAGCAGAAACUCGCGUUUUGGGGAAAGCCCGUGAUGAGGAGGAGCUGCGAGGGGGGAGGAAGGCGGGGAGGAAUGGAGGUGUCUGCACUUUCCUUUCUUUAUUUUUGUUCUUUUCUUCUUUAAGUGCUACUUUUGUUCCCCAUCGCAGUUCUCUCCCCUCCUUUAAUUCUGGCGCUCGCUCCUUUGGCUUAAGUGCUGACGGGGGGGAAUUUACAAUUAGCAAAGCAGGAAAAAGUGGGAUCACAAAAGGCUCCUCGGACCUCGCCGCGAAGGGACGGCCCGUCGGGGGCGGGGGGGGGGUUGGUUUGGGGGUUUUUGUGUCUGUGUGUGCACCUUUAAGCUGAGAACUCCAGGAAGAAAAAGAAGCGUGCCCCAGGAAACACUUGACUUUUGAGAGGACUUACUCGAGGGUUUCUAGGUGAUGGAUAAAGUCCUGCUCCACGGACCGCGGUGUUUCCAGCUAUUGUUCUGCUGGGAGGGAGCUUUCCACCGGCGGACACCAUUAUUUUUCCCCCUAUUUAAACUUUUCAUGAACUACUCCAACAUAAAUCUUCUCCUUCAAGCCAAUUCUUACUCUGGAGCCCCGGCGCUGACAUUUCAGGGAAGGAAGGAUGAAAACCAGUAGUGGACUAUUCUUUUAAAGACUUCUCAGUAGGUAAAAUACUCUCUAGGUUUCUGAAUCUGGAUCUCCACUGACUAACUGGGAGUGCCCAAACAACCAGAAGUCCCUCCAAUACUGGAGAUAAUUCCUCUGAAGUGCGAAACCGUGCUUUAAUUUUAACUGGCAGCCAAAAAAAAACCACCUUUUAGAAGGUCUUUGCACGUUUAGAUGUUGAGCUCCUGCAAGCGCAGUUUUUAGGCUCCCUUUGGCAUCUUUGCUUUGGUUGCAGCUUAUUUUUCUUUAAGAUGUAACUCCCUCGCCCUCAUCCCGAAAUCAGCAGCAAAUGUUGCAAUCUGCCUGGAUUUCCCUUCAAAGGGAGUACAGGAAAUAUCUUCAAUUUAAAACACUCCCUCGAAGUUACGCUCAUAAAUCACAAGUUUAAGGACAAGCCAGUAGCAAAAUGAAAAUAGUCCGGUGAAUUCCAGGGCAGCCCUGCUUAUCCUGGCGGUGGGGGAGAGGGACGGGACUGGAUGGGACAGGAGGGGGAUUCACUUUGGGUGCCCUCAGAGAAGGAAUGAAGGGAGACACAGAGACACGCACAGUGUGGUGGAGGGAUCGCCACGAAGGGAGGGGGGAGGAUGGAGACGCGCUGCAGUGUACGAGGCCAGAGGGGCAGUGAUUCGGUAUCAGAAUUAACGGUUUGGAGACGUAAAUAUCUUGAAAGCCACGCCGAGAUUUAUGGCCACAACUUUGGCACGAAGGAUUCGGGAAGGAAGAAAGAAAAGGAGAAAGACAAAACAAUCUAAUUUAACAAUAUUUUCGUUUAGGGAAACAUUCCAAUGCCUUAAUAAUCCCGUUUCCGUUCUGUAUGUUGAUGUUACUAAUCUCGAAUAAAAAUGUUCCCCUCACA
Long non-coding RNA from Pezoporus occidentalis (night parrot), 1628 nucleotides. RefSeq lists it as uncharacterized. NCBI's taxonomy places the organism in Eukaryota, Metazoa, Chordata, Aves, Psittaciformes, Psittacidae. The transcript is spliced from 2 exons. The record is from RefSeq and is a predicted model, not a curated record.